CGGGCCUGCGAGUUACCGUACGUAGCAAGGUUAAGCCGUCAGGUGGAGCCGAAGCGAAAGCGAGUCCUAACAGGGCGACGAGUUGCGUGCGGUAGACCCGAAACCUUAGCGAUCUAUCCAUGGCCAGGUUGAAGAGCGGGUAACACCGCUUGGAGGACCGAACUCACUUAAGUUGAAAAUUAAGGGGAUGAGCUGUGGAUAGGAGUGAAAGGCUAAUCAAGCUGGGAUAUAGCUGGUUCUCCUCGAAAUAUAUUGAGGUAUAGCCUCGGACGAAUUGCGCCGGAGGUAGAGCACUGAAUGGGCUAGGGGUCCUACCAGAUUACCAAACCCAAUCAAACUCCGAAUGCCGGCGACAAGUAUCCGGGAGUCAGGCUGCGGGAGAUAAGUUCCGUAGCCAAAAGGGAAAGAGCCCAGAUCGGCAGCUAAGGUCCCAAAGUCUGAGCUAAGUGUCAAAGGAUGUGGAAGCGCUUAGACAACUAGGAGGUUGGCUUAGAAGCAGCCAUCCUUUAAAGAAAGCGUAAUAGCUCACUAGUCAAGCGAGUCCGCGCCGAAAAUAUAACGGGGCUAAGCUCAGCACCGAAGCUCCGGGCUCUCGCAAGAGAGCGGUAGAGGAGUAUUCUCAGGCAGAUACACGCUGGACGGUAACGACCAGUCACGGGCCUGAGAAGUGCUUAUGCAGGCAUGAGUAGCGAUAAACCGAGCGAGAAACUCGGUCGCCGUAAGCCCAAGGUUUCCUGGGGAAGGAUAAUCCUCCCAUGGGUUAGUCGGAUCCUAAGCCGAGGCCGAGAGGCGUAGGUGAUGGAAGGCAGGUUAAUAUUCCUGCACCACCAAGGACGGCGUUGACGUAAGCGGGGACGGAGUAGGGUAGGUCGAGCACGGGCAACCGUGUCCAAGCCAGUAGGGUGUUUCGUGAGGACCCGAUAGGGACAAACCACGAGCAUUAGCCCGAGAGGUGAUGGAGGCUGGCAUUUGCUGGCAGAAUUCGAUGAUCCCAGACUUCCAAGAAAAGCCGCGUACUGAGCCCCUUUGGUGUCCGUACCGCAAACCGACUCAGGUGGGCGGGGUGAGAAUCCCAAGGCGCGUGAGAGAACCCAGGCUAAGGAACUCGGCAAAAUGACACCGUAACUUCGGGAGAAGGUGUGCCGCGGCGCGUGAAGAGACUUGCUCUCCGAGCGUUCUGCGGUCGCAGAGAAAUGGGGGUUGUGACUGUUUACUAAAAACACAGGACUCUGCGAAGUCGCAAGACGACGUAUAGGGUCUGAUGCCUGCCCGGUGCUGGAAGGUUAAGGGGAAGAGUCAGCGCAAGCGAAGCUCUGAACCGAAGCCCCAGUAAACGGCGGCCGUAACGAUAACGGUCCUAAGGUAGCGAAAUUCCUUGUCGGGUAAGUUCCGACCUGCACGAAUGGCAUAACAACAUCCCCGCUGUCUCGGCCUGGGACUCAGCGAAAUUCUAA
RNAcentral lists this ribosomal RNA (1454 nucleotides) under metagenome. Its description in RNAcentral is "bacterial LSU rRNA". It matches the Rfam family "Bacterial large subunit ribosomal RNA", at positions 616 to 2047 of the family's 2925-position model. The record is from RNAcentral.